CUGGCGGCGUGCCUAAUACAUGCAAGUCGAACGGUCUUUCUAUGGAAGCUUGCUUCCACUGAGAAGAUAGUGGCGAACGGGUGAGUAACACGUGGGUAACCUGCCCAUAAGAGGGGGAUAACAUCCGGAAACGGGUGCUAAUACCGCAUAGUUUUCUUGAUCGCAUGAUUGAGAAAGGAAAGACGGCCUUUGUGCUGUCGCUUAUGGAUGGACCCGCGGCGUAUUAGUUAGUUGGUGAGGUAAUGGCUCACCAAGACGAUGAUACGUAGCCGACCUGAGAGGGUGAUCGGCCACAUUGGGACUGAGACACGGCCCAAACUCCUACGGGAGGCAGCAGUAGGGAAUCUUCCGCAAUGGACGAAAGUCUGACGGAGCAACGCCGCGUGAGUGAAGAAAGGGUUUUCGGAUCGUAAAACUCUGUUGUCAGAGAAGAACAAGUUGGAGAGUAACUGCUCCAGCCUUGACGGUAUCUGACCAGAAAGCCACGGCUAACUACGUGCCAGCCGCGGC
Molecule: ribosomal RNA, 510 nt
Filed under: uncultured bacterium
Lineage: Bacteria
Description: bacterial SSU rRNA
Rfam family: Bacterial small subunit ribosomal RNA
Source: RNAcentral